GUGUCAGCAGCCGCGGUAAUACGGAGGGUGCAAGCGUUGUCCGGAUUUAUUGGGUUUAAAGGGUGCGUAGGCGGCCCGUUAAGUCAGCGGUGAAAUCCCGGGGCUCAACCCCGGAACUGCCGUUGAUACUGGCGGGCUUGAGUUCGGUCGAGGCGGGCGGAACUGGCGGUGUAGCGGUGAAAUGCUUAGAUACCGCCAAGAACCCCGAUUGCGUAGGCAGCUCGCUGGGCCGAAACUGACGCUGAGGCACGAAAGCGUGGGGAGCGAACAGGAUUAGAUACCCUGGUAGUCC
RNAcentral lists this ribosomal RNA (292 nucleotides) under uncultured bacterium. RNAcentral describes it as "partial 16S ribosomal RNA". It matches the Rfam family "Bacterial small subunit ribosomal RNA", at positions 505 to 796 of the family's 1533-position model. The record is from RNAcentral.